This 74-nucleotide transfer RNA is filed under the name Burkholderiales bacterium RIFCSPLOWO2_02_FULL_57_36. RNAcentral's name for it is "tRNA-Trp". The record is from RNAcentral. Lineage: Bacteria; Pseudomonadati; Pseudomonadota; Betaproteobacteria; Burkholderiales.
GAGUCCUUAGUUCAGUUGGCAGAACACCGGAUUCCAAAUCCGGAUGGUGAAGCAGGGAAUUCGAGCAGCAUGCU